AGGGUUUGAUCAUGGCUCAGAACGUACGCUGGCGGCACGCCUAACACAUGCAAGUCGAACGAAGUAGCAAUACUUAGUGGCAGACGGGUGAGUAACAUGUAGGUAUCUGCCCUUUGGCCUGGAAUAACACGAGGAAACUUGUGCUAAUACCGGAUAAGUCUUUACGGAGAAAGCUUUAUGCACCAUUGGAUGAGCCUGCACUUGAUUAGUUUGUUGGUGGGGUAAUGGCCUACCAAGACUGUGAUCAAUAGCUGAUUUGAGAGGAUGAUCAGCCACAUUGGGACUGAGACACGGCCCAAACUCCUACGGGAGGCAGCAGUGGGGAAUCUUGCACAAUGGAGGAAACUCUGAUGCAGCGAUGCCGCGUGAGUGAAGAAGGCCUUUGGGUUGUAAAGCUCUUUCGUCGGGGAAGAAAAUGACUGUACCCGAAUAAGAAGGUCCGGCUAACUUCGUGCCAGCAGCCGCGGUAAUACGAAGGGACCUAGCGUAGUUCGGAAUUACUGGGCUUAAAGAGUUCGUAGGUGGUUGAAAAAGUUAGUGGUGAAAUCCCAGAGCUUAACUCUGGAACUGCCAUUAAAACUUUUCAGCUAGAGUAUGAUAGAGGAAAGCAGAAUUUCUAGUGUAGAGGUGAAAUUCGUAGAUAUUAGAAAGAAUACCAAUUGCGAAGGCAGCUUUCUGGAUCAUUACUGACACUGAGGAACGAAAGCAUGGGUAGCGAAGAGGAUUAGAUACCCUCGUAGUCCAUGCCGUAAACGAUGUGUGUUAGACGUUGGAAAUUUAUUUUCAGUGUCGCAGCGAAAGCGAUAAACACACCGCCUGGGGAGUACGACCGCAAGGUUAAAACUCAAAUGAAUUGACGGGGACCCGCACAAGUAGUGGAGCAUGUGGUUUAAUUCGAAGAUACGCGCAGAACCUUACCAACACUUGACAUGUUCGUCGCGACUCUAAGAGAUUAGAGUUUUCGGUUCGGCCGGACGAAACACAGGUGCUGCAUGGCUGUCGUCAGCUCGUGUCGUGAGAUGUUGGGUUAAGUCCCGCAACGAGCGCAACCCUCACUUUUAGUUGCCAUCAUUAAGUUGGGCACUCUGAAAGAACUGCCAGUGAUAAGCUGGAGGAAGGUGGGGAUGACGUCAAGUCCUCAUGGCCCUUACGUGUUGGGCUACACACGUGCUACAAUGGUAUCUACAACAGGAAGCAAGACUGCGAGGUCAAGCAAAUCCUUAAAAGAUACCUCAGUUCGGAUUGCACUCUGCAACUCGAGUGCAUGAAGCUGGAAUUACUAGUAAUCGUGGAUCAGCGUGCCACGGUGAAUGCGUUCCCGGGUCUUGUACACACCGCCCGUCACACCAUGGGAGUUGGUUCUACCUUAAGGCAAGGUUUCAAACCCUUGACCACGGUAUAGUCAGCGACUGGGGUGAAGUCGUAACAAGGUAACCGUA
This 1439-nucleotide ribosomal RNA is filed under the name uncultured bacterium. RNAcentral describes it as "bacterial SSU rRNA". It matches the Rfam family "Bacterial small subunit ribosomal RNA". The record is from RNAcentral.